RNAcentral lists this ribosomal RNA (253 nucleotides) under uncultured bacterium. Its description in RNAcentral is "partial 16S ribosomal RNA". It matches the Rfam family "Bacterial small subunit ribosomal RNA", at positions 524 to 776 of the family's 1533-position model. The record is from RNAcentral.
UACGGUAGGGGGCAAGCGUUGUCCGGAUUUAUUGGGCGUAAAGAGCGUGUAGGCGGCUAGAUAGGUCCGUUGUGAAACUCGAGGCUCAACCUCGAGACGCCGAUGGAAACCAUCUGACUAGAGUCCGGAAGAGGAGAGUGGAAUUCCUGGUGUAGCGGUGAAAUGCGCAGAUAUCAGGAAGAACACCCGUGGCUAAGGCGGCUCUCUAGUACGGUACUGACGCUGAGACGCAAAAGCGUGGGGAGCGAACAGG